GAACAAUUUUAUUUUCGCACCAUGUUUUUGGCGCCGUUGCCGGGGAACGGCUGAUUUAUUAGUAUAUUUUUAGAGUUAAUUUUUAGUUGAUUUGUUAGUAUUUUUCUUUUGAAAAAAAAAAUUUUUGAAUCUUUAUUGCUGUUUUUUUUAUUCCCUGCACAGUCUGCAUCAAACUCUGAUAUCUGAGUAAUUCACCGUCUGAUUGGAUUCAAAUUUGGUCGUCAGGUGCAAGACCUGUGUUUCUGUCAUUUGAACGGUCUGAUUGACAUUCUGAUACUUUUACGACCAUUAUAUUAAUCUGAAACCUUGCUGCUGUCUGUUUUGAAUUUUCUGUGUUUAAAUUUUUUUUUUUUAGAAUCAGAAUUUUAUUAUUAUCAUAUCUCAUUAACCCUUGUUGCUAGUUGAAAAUUGAUAAGAACUUUAAGAAAAGAUCAAGGGUGAUCAUUAAAAGAAUAAAUAAAUAAAUAAACUCUGAAACUUUGUAAUGCUAGGGUGGAAUAGGGACGACACCGGUCGAUUAAGUCGUACAACUUUAGAUCAUCCCUUAGGACACAUCCUUGAAAUUCCUUCGCAGUAUCUCACACCUU
RNAcentral lists this long non-coding RNA (587 nucleotides) under Phoenix dactylifera (date palm). RNAcentral describes it as "long non-coding RNA (PDAC_LNC019333)". Lineage: Eukaryota; Viridiplantae; Streptophyta; Magnoliopsida; Arecales; Arecaceae. The record is from RNAcentral.